RNAcentral lists this ribosomal RNA (470 nucleotides) under uncultured bacterium. RNAcentral's name for it is "partial 16S ribosomal RNA". It matches the Rfam family "Bacterial small subunit ribosomal RNA", at positions 28 to 505 of the family's 1533-position model. The record is from RNAcentral.
GACGAACGCUGGCGGCGUGCUUAACACAUGCAAGUCGAACGCUGAAGCUUGGUGCUUGCACUGGGUGGAUGAGUGGCGAACGGGUGAGUAAUACGUGAGUAACCUGCCCUUGACUCUGGGAUAAGCCUGGGAAACUGGGUCUAAUACUGGAUACGACAUGUCACCGCAUGGUGGUGUGUGGAAAGGGUUUUACUGGUUUUGGAUGGGCUCACGGCCUAUCAGCUUGUUGGUGGGGUAAUGGCUCACCAAGGCGACGACGGGUAGCCGGCCUGAGAGGGUGACCGGCCACACUGGGACUGAGACACGGCCCAGACUCCUACGGGAGGCAGCAGUGGGGAAUAUUGCACAAUGGGCGGAAGCCUGAUGCAGCGACGCCGCGUGAGGGAUGACGGCCUUCGGGUUGUAAACCUCUUUCAGCACGGAAGAAGCGAAAGUGACGGUACGUGCAGAAGAGGCGCCGGCUAACUACG